GACGAACGCUGGCGGCGUGCUUAACACAUGCAAGUCGAACGGAAAGGCCCUGCUUUUGUGGGGUGCUCGAGUGGCGAACGGGUGAGUAACACGUGAGUAACCUGCCCUUGACUUUGGGAUAACUUCAGGCAACUGGGGCUAAUACCGGAUAGGAGCUCCUGCUGCAUGGUGGGGGUUGGAAAGUUUCGGCGGUUGGGGAUGGACUCGCGGCUUAUCAGCUUGUUGGUGGGGUAGUGGCUUACCAAGGCUUUGACGGGUAGCCGGCCUGAGAGGGUGACCGGCCACAUUGGGACUGAGAUACGGCCCAGACUCCUACGGGAGGCAGCAGUGGGGAAUAUUGCACUAUGGGCGGAAGCCUGAUGCAGCAACGCCGCGUGCGGGAAGACGGCCUGGGGGUUGUAAACCGCUUUCGCCUGUGACGAAGCGUGAGUGACGGUAAUGGGUAAAGAAGCACCGGCUAACUACGUG
Molecule: ribosomal RNA, 468 nt
Filed under: uncultured bacterium
Lineage: Bacteria
Description: partial 16S ribosomal RNA
Rfam family: Bacterial small subunit ribosomal RNA
Source: RNAcentral